UCUAUAAUGAGAAAUGAUCCAGAUCUAGGGUCUUUUGAGUAGGAAAGCUGGUCAUGAGAUGGUCCUGCCCCCAAGGUGUCCACUCCACUGUCUUGGCUAUGACAAAAGAGUCCAUGCAUGAGCAAAUCUGGAUAGAUUCUACCACAUGGAUAUGAGGUAGAACCUACACUUCACAAGAGUCUGAAUUUUAUGAUCCUUGAAGACGCCCUGAGGCAGAACCCCACCCACUUUAGCAGAAGCCUAGAGAUGGACUUUCAGCAGGCAGGUGUUUCUGGUUUGCCUGGUUGCCCAGUGAUUUGAGAGCCCCGCGACGCAGCCUGCUACAGGAACGGGGACUUCUCUGGAACACUGGCGUGCGCAGGGAUUAAUCCCGCCGUAGAGAGCCAGCCUGGCCUUUGAAGUGUUACAAGGGAAAGGAGGAGGUAAGUGUCGAGGCGAGCCCCCAGCCCCCCUCCCCGCCCCCGGGCAGCGUGCGGCGGCCCGCAAAGGGUUAAAGGCCGCCUUGGCCCGGCGGUGCCGUG
Molecule: long non-coding RNA, 521 nt
Filed under: Cyanistes caeruleus (blue tit)
Lineage: Eukaryota; Metazoa; Chordata; Aves; Passeriformes; Paridae
Description: lncRNA (ENSCCEG00000001456.1)
Source: RNAcentral